Long non-coding RNA from Papaver somniferum (opium poppy), 2323 nucleotides. RefSeq lists it as uncharacterized. Lineage: Eukaryota; Viridiplantae; Streptophyta; Magnoliopsida; Ranunculales; Papaveraceae. The transcript is spliced from 2 exons. The record is from RefSeq and is a predicted model, not a curated record.
AUAAGUGCUUUAAGGGCAUUUUUGUCAAAGAUCGAGAAGUUUCAGACAACAAGGUGUCUGUCCGAUGCAAACAAAGCUUAAGCAAAAUAAAGAGAAAGAGAAAGAGGCGUGAAAACCAGAGGUUGUAACGGAGAAGAUGAAGAAAACUUCUUCAAGCACUGCAAUCAGCAGAUUCAUCGUCAACAAUCGAUUGGGAAACGAAAAUUCUUUUCCUAUCUCUCUUCUAUUAUUCUUUUUCUUUCAGAUCUAUAAGUUUUGAGAAAAAUAUCUCUGAGAAAUUUCAAUAUGAUUUCAUGAAAAUCUGAAAAUUUCUUUCAAAGUCUUCAUUGAAAACAAGUUUCGAUUGUAGAUCCACAGUAAACAAACCUUGUUCUACAAACCCAUUAAGGGAUUUUCUCUAAAGAUUACAAAAAUAGGGAUUUCUAACCUGAUUUAGUUUUCCCUUGUGAAUGAAAUACAAUGAGCUAUUGAUGAUAUAUCUCGUUCUUUAUACGAUUUAAUAACCCAAACGAUUUGCUGAUUGCAGCUGUACCACGAAGCUGGAAGAAGCUGCACGAGUAAGAUCGGAGCAGCAACAACAGCUCAGAAACAUAGGUCAUCAUCAACAUCGCCACCAUCUCGAGACCAACUCGUGUUGAUACCUCUGAUCCAAUCGGACAGACUAUCUCGUACAUCUCAAACAAAUCAUCAAACUCGGACGAGAACCAAUAUCAGAUAAAACAAUCAACAGGAAUAUGAAAUCGGCUGCCAUCAACAGCUUUGCCUGAUUUAGGGCCAUUUGUCUUCAAUCUCUUCUCGUUCUAUUUUUCACAGCAAUUCCUAAACGAUUUUAUUUCAUAUUAUGAUUACUCACUGAAUUGACUUGUUACUACAGCAAGAUGAUAAUCGGGAUAAAAUCUCUUCACCAGCAGCGUGACCAAUUCGAGGAGUUACCUCGUACAGCUCAACUCGGAGCAACCAGUCUGCACAGCUCAAUCUAGAGCAUUCAUCUCGGAUAACAAAGCAGCAGACAGAUGUCGGAACGAAGACCAGUCAUCUCGUACAUUUCAGUCAAGAGAAUCAAUCUCGGACGGAAAACAAUAAGAGAAUCCAAUCGGACGAACCAUACUCGUAUUGGCAGUACUGCUCAACUCAGAGCCGCAACCUCAGAUCGGAAAGAUACCUCCUAUCUGGUCGUGAAGAAACAACCAGCACGAGGGGAGCCGGUCAGAGCAAGAUCUAGUACUCACCAAUCUCGGACGAGAAAUCAACAAGACAACCAGAGCAUGAACUCGGAUGUCUCACUAUCUUAGCCUGAUUUUUGGACUUUUUCCUCACUCUCUCUUCGUGCUGUCUUGCAUAACAAUUGUUAAACGAAAUCAACAGAUAAUGUGAUUACUAAUCUAGUUGUCUUGUUGCUGCAGAAAAACGAUGGCGUUCGAAAUCACAUCGGAAUCACCAACUCGUUCUCAACUCGAGACCAACUCGUGGAGCCUAUUAGAGCUCGGACUCAUCAGUUCAUCUCCGAGCACCAAUCUCGGACAAGCAAUUAACAGAACAACCAGCACGAUGGGAGUCAGUCAGAGCAUGAUCUCGGACUCACCAGUUGAUCGGUCUUGAAGCACGAACUCGGAUCGUACAUUGGGUUCGGACUAGGAGCAUCAGCUCAGACUUGUCACCCGACCAAAACUCGGGUGCAUGAUGAAAUGCUCUACAGAGGAGCUAUGGUAUGGAUUCAGUCUCGGACGAACAACCAUAGCUCAAUAUAUUUCAGACUUACCAAGUCAUCGGUCAAGAAGCACGGACUCUGAUCGCACGAGGUUAUCGGAUGCGAGCACGAUCUACUCGGACUCACAUGAUGUUCAACCAGAGCAUGAGAUCGGACUACCCAAGUGAAUGAAGCACGAACUCAGACUCAACAGUCCCUCUCCGAGCACCAAAUCGGAUAGCAUUCCUCUCUUACCUUAUAUCUCUUGAUUUCUUUUAAGUAACUAGAUGUUUUAUAUGCCUAAAUGCUUUGAAUCAAGAGAAAUUUGAUACAUUUCAUGACCAACAGGUACAUGAUAACAUACUAUAUGGCAGGACUCUUUUAUAGCGUCUGUUUCAGAUGGUCAUUUCAAGACCAAUAAUCUUAUGCUGUCGAAAACAUUCAUCUCGGGUCAUCCACGACGAUGCAUCCGUACUCACCAAGCUCACUGCUAGAGCUACAAAGCCAAACAGGAGAAAUUCUUAUCUCUUUAUCUUUGAAAUUUAUUAUGUUGCAGAUCUCUAAAGUAGACAAAUGCAAUCUAUCAAGCUCACAAGAUAUAAUAGAAUCUACUAUAACAUGAUAUAUUGUCUUUAA